UACGGAGGGUGCAAGCGUUGUCCGGAUUUAUUGGGUUUAAAGGGUGCGUAGGCGGCUUUUUAAGUCAGUGGUGAAAUCCUACAGCUUAACUGUAGAACCGCCAUUGAUACUGAAGAGCUUGAGUACAGACGAGGUAGGUGGAAUUUAUGGUGUAGCGGUGAAAUGCAUAGAUACCAUAAAGAACUCCUAUUGCGAAGGCAGCUUACUAGGCUGUAACUGACGCUGAGGCACGAAAGCGUGGGGAUCAAACAGG
RNAcentral lists this ribosomal RNA (253 nucleotides) under uncultured bacterium. RNAcentral's name for it is "partial 16S ribosomal RNA". It matches the Rfam family "Bacterial small subunit ribosomal RNA", at positions 524 to 776 of the family's 1533-position model. The record is from RNAcentral.